GAUGAACGCUGGCGGCGUGCCUAAUACAUGCCAGUCGAGCGAACAGACGAGGAGCUUGCUCCUCUGACGUUAGCGGCGGACGGGUGAGUAACACGUGGAUAACCUACCUAUAAGACUGGGAUAACUUCGGGAAACCGGAGCUAAUACCGGAUAAUAUAAUGAACCGCAUGGUUCAAUAGUGAAAGACGGUUUUGCUGUCACUGCUAGAUGGAUCCGCGCCGCAUUAGCUAGUUGGUAAGGUAAAGGCUUACCAAGGCACUGAGGCGUAGCCGACCUGGGAGGGUGAGCGGCCACACUGGAACUGAGACACGGUCCAGACUCCUACGGGAGGCAGCAGUAGAGAAUCAUCCGCAAUGGGCGAAAGCCUGACGGAGCAACGCCGCGUGAGUGAUGAAGGUCUUCGGGUCGGAAAACUCUGUUAUUAGGGAAGAACAAAUGUGUAAGUAACUAUGCACGUCUUGACGGUACCUAAUCAGAAAGCCACGGCUAACUACGUG
This 497-nucleotide ribosomal RNA is filed under the name uncultured bacterium. Its description in RNAcentral is "partial 16S ribosomal RNA". It matches the Rfam family "Bacterial small subunit ribosomal RNA", at positions 28 to 507 of the family's 1533-position model. The record is from RNAcentral.